Molecule: ribosomal RNA, 530 nt
Filed under: Polydacrys sp. GZ37
Lineage: Eukaryota; Metazoa; Arthropoda; Insecta; Coleoptera; Curculionidae
Description: partial 12S ribosomal RNA
Source: RNAcentral
GUUACACAAAUAAUGCAAUGUUAAAUGUUUGGUUGUUAAUUAACAGAUUUUUAGGAGCUUAGAAUUGACUUUAUUAGGUGAAAUUUUAAAGUUAGUGGAAGUUUGUUUAAAGAUUGUGAAGUUAAUAAAUUUAUUUUUAAACUAGGAUUAGAUACCCUAUUAUUUUAAAAGUAAAAAAAAUUAGACCUGAUUAGUAUUAGUUAUAAUCUUGAAAAUUAAAGAAGAUGGCGGUAUUUUAGUCUGUUCAGAGGAACCUGUCCUUUAAUUGAUAAUCCACGAUUUUUUAUACUUGAAUUUAGUUUACAUAUCGUCGUAGAUUGAAUAUUUUUGUUAAAUUUUAAUAUUCAAGAUUUUUAUAAGAAAAUAUUUCAGAUCAAGGUGUAGCUUAUAUUUUAGUAGAGAUGGGUUACAAUAAAUAUAUUUAAAUGGAAAAAAAUUUGAAUAAGUUUUUAGAAAGUGGAUUUGAAAGUAAUUUUUUUAAAUUUAAUAAAAUGAUUUUAGCUCUAAAAUAUGUACAUAUCGCCCGUCGC